GUUCACGUCAGUAACAACGAUAGGGUUUUACUCACAUUUAUGAAGUCAAAUAUCAAUGGUUUAUCUGUGAUUUCGACGUAGGCCCUUGCGCUGCACUUCUGAGCAGAUGUGUCAGAGGCACCACUGAUUCAAAACCAUCGAACAGAGGUGAGGAGACCUGAGAUCCUCCUCUUUGUUGACUUGGUUUCGUGCUGAAUGUGCGAAUGUGAAUGAGUUUUUCGGGGAAAUGUGGGUGUUUUAAAGAGAAGGGGUAAUACCUGUACUUCCCUCCUCAUGCAUUCCCACAGUGUUAUCGUACACACAGUGACGCCAAUUGAAUUCAAAUACGAUAAAUGAUGUGCUUUCCUACUGUUUCACUGCCACAGUGACCAGGUUGGACGUUGUUGUUUAUCGUGGGACAGGAAGGAAGCAUUGUGAAGGUAAAAUUGUUUGCAAAACAAUAUUUUUCUAGUGUCAGUACAUUCUUAAUUAUAUUUGAAAAAAAAAAAACAACAACAACUCAAAUCUAAUAUACUCUUGAAGAAACUGUAAAGAAAGUAAACAAUUGCCUAGGCACUGAGGUCAAAUGUCCACCCAGGCUUCUGUAGCACAAACUCUCGUAAGUUAGUCGUCGUGUUACGCUUCGUAAAGGUGUUUGUUACUCCCACUCCUGAUAUUCAGAAGUAUUUUCUAGAACUACAGAUUUUUCUUUAACUAUAGCUAAACUUGAGAACAAGUUAACAAUCAAACCACACUGGCUAAAUGAACAUGGACAAUCUAGCUAGCAUUGUUAGCAGCUGUAGCUAACGGUUGGUUUUAGGACAAAGCAUCUAACUGACAUUCAUAUUAAAAUUGUAGCGGUUUUACUGUAGUCCAUUUUUUUUUUCUGUGUCGUCCCUGCUAGGAUUUAUAUAAUAGCUGAGUACCGUUUGUCUUAAACCAGCAAUUCAAAUUUAGCCUUGCAUUAAGGGAGAUCACCUAAAUUUGUUUAAGGUUGCAGUUUGAAUGUGACUUUUUCUCACCCACAAAAAUCUGGUUUGAUUUUUUUAUACAUUAAUGUAACAUAUUCACUACAGUGAGCUUCAUAUUCUUUUUUUAACUUUAGUUUUUGAGUUUACUGUGUGCAGGCUUAUACUUUGGAACGGUUACUGUAAUUGUUUUGUAAACAGACUUCAUCCUAUCAGUGAAAUCACCAACACUUAGUCUUUACCCAGUGACGUUGUACUGUGUUGAUCGUUGUAUAAAUAUUGUAUAAUACAACAGUGCACAUUUAAAUGAAUUAAUGAACAAACAAAACAAGAGAGAAAAAAAAAUUAUAUAAUUUAGUUGCCAGUUGGAUUUGAAGGGUUCACGGGCCGGAAUUGGCCAGCGAGCCAGGAGUUUGAAACCCCUGCUGUAAACUGUAGGUGUAUAUGCUUGUUUAGUAUCAAAUAGAAUGGAAUAUAUAUUUAAUUGCAUUAGCAGGAGUUGCACAGUUAGCAUUAGCUGUUUCAGCAGCCCACCCAAAAUCUUUGAGCCAACUUCAAAUAUGAAUAUUUCAGUUAUUAGUAUGCUAAGUCCUCUUUUUCCUUUUCUUCUUUUAAUUAAUGCUGUUACUUUACCCUACCCUACUCUUACCUAUUGUGGGGAGACACAGUUCUAAAGAUUUGUAUUGUAAGCCUUAAAGGCUGGAUGAUCUCAGGCUCUGAAUACCUGCAUAUAAAAUCAAGCAAAACACCAUGUAAAAGUGAAAAAAGGGAUUAGAAGGGAUUAUUAAAAUUACAGAAAGUUUUUCAGAGUGCUAAGCAGAAUGUUAAUGCUGGGGAUUUUCAAAGACAUCGCUUGGCUUCGAUUCAGAACUUUUGCAUAAUUGUGGAACUGGUUGGUGAAGUCGGAGUGGUUUUAUGUGCUAUUUAAUGAACGGAUUUUAAGCGGUUCAAAGAUGUGUGCUGACCUACUUACUUCGCUUACUUACAGUACUUUACACACUUCGGUCGAGAUGAGAGAUUGGUUGUGAUUUUGUCCAACUUUGGGUUGUGAAACAAUCUUUUUUUUUUUAAAAAGCAGUGAAUCACAAAGCUAUGUUUCUCUGUUUGGAAGUGUCCAAACUGACUGGAUUGUCCAUCGUACCGGACCCACUCACUGUGGACUCUGUGGGUCACUGGGAGAAAAAAAAGUCUAGUAUUAUGAAAGAAACCAAAAAAAAGACAGCUCAGAAUUUCUGCUUGAGGGUGGUGUAGUGCACCCUCCACACAAAUAAACCCAGCAAAGUUUCCUGACACACUUACAGCAGCCUGUGCAUGACACGCAACGGAAACAGCAAGGCCUGGAAGAUAAACCACAAAUCAACUGAGGAAAUUUUGUCAAUUUAAAAUUAUCAUGAGCAGCAACAACUUUUAUAUUUGCUUCUGGUUUGUGUGGUAUAUCAAAGAUUGUCUAAGUCGUGUGUGACUGAAAUUGAGAAAUAUUGUAUUUUCAUUCUUUACCUCAUACAUUAAAUCCCAGUAUGUUGCAUUAUUUUUUAUGUAUAAAUCAAACAAUUAUAUCAAUACACUUUAAAGCAAAAUUGUUUUUUAAAUACUGUGGCAUAAAGUGACAAUUGUUCAUACAUUUUUAUGAAGACGUGACGUCGCAUAUUCUCUUACCAUUUCCAUGCACCAUUACUGCCCUCUUGUGGUUUAUAUUUGUAUUGCAUAUAUGGCAUUGUCUUUGGGCCAGUUAGCCAAUUUUCAGAAGCAGGUGUACUAGCAGUUUAAAUAUAUACAGUAUAGAAGUAAAAUUAAUAAUUGCAGGAACCGUUAUAUAUUAUUUAAACACAUGCAUAAUUAAAUGUGUCUAUGAUUGGUCAAAAACAUUAUUACAUUUUGAUCUCUUUACAAAUUUUAAAGUUUGUUAUUUAUGUAUUUUAUUUACACCGAUAGUGAUUAUAAAUAGUUUUACUGUUUUACUGUAUCUGAAUCUGUACCGUUGACACAUGAGAGAACAAUACGCAGUCAAACCAGUAGAUGGCGGUAUUUCAAGUAAAGUAAAUAGAAAGCCACAAACCAUCACCUGGUGGAUUGUGGGUGCCGUGCCGGACGUUUGUGAUUGGAUAACGAAGCGGAUCUGUGUCCUUUAGAAACGGAAGGAAGCGGUAAUACGGCCCUGUGACAGUAGCAAAAUGGCGUCGUGUGAAGGCGCAGAGAAAGAACUUUGCUAUUAUUACCUCGGCCAAAAGAAGAGGGUUAACCAAGUUGUUGCACUCCUGAUGAUGGGGCCAUCGUAAAUGUGAAUUGUUUUGCUAAUAAAAGACUAAAGUUAUUACUGUUCUGUUCAUUGUGGAAGUAUUCUGGUUGGAUUUUUAGCUUACUUUUUACUACUUAUUUUAGAUGCUAUGUAAAAACAAACUUGAAAAUAGAAACUAACUUUAAUAAAACUUUUAAAAAAACUGAAGUUGUGACUGUGGCGAUUGGGUCCGAUCACAAUUGCGUUCGGGCGGAAGUAAGACUAUGUUCCGCUUGCAUUAAGGCUCCCCUUUACACGCCCUGAAAAUGCCUGGUUACACAUGCCGUAACCCUAAUAA
Long non-coding RNA from Cynoglossus semilaevis (tongue sole), 3520 nucleotides. RefSeq lists it as uncharacterized. The record is from RefSeq and is a predicted model, not a curated record. The transcript is spliced from 2 exons. NCBI's taxonomy places the organism in Eukaryota, Metazoa, Chordata, Actinopteri, Pleuronectiformes, Cynoglossidae.